GACGAACGCUGGCGGCGUGCCUAAUACAUGCAAGUAGAACGCACAGUUUAUACCGUAGCUUGCUACACCAUAAACUGUGAGUUGCGAACGGGUGAGUAACGCGUAGGUAACCUGCCUGGUAGCGGGGGAUAACUAUUGGAAACGAUAGCUAAUACCGCAUAAUAUUAAUUAUUGCAUGAUAAUUGAUUGAAAGAUGCAAUUGCAUCACUACCAGAUGGACCUGCGUUGUAUUAGCUAGUAGGUGAGGUAACGGCUCACCUAGGCGACGAUACAUAGCCGACCUGAGAGGGUGAUCGGCCACACUGGGACUGAGACACGGCCCAGACUCCUACGGGAGGCAGCAGGAGGGAAUCUUCGGCAAUGGACGAAAGUCUGACCGAGCAACGCCGCGUGAGUGAAGAAGGGUUUCGGAUCGUAAAGCUCUGUUGUAAGAGAAGAACGGGUGUGAGAGUGGAAAGUUCACACUGUGACGGUAUCUUACCAGAAAGGGACGGCUAACUACGUG
This 505-nucleotide ribosomal RNA is filed under the name uncultured bacterium. Its description in RNAcentral is "partial 16S ribosomal RNA". It matches the Rfam family "Bacterial small subunit ribosomal RNA", at positions 28 to 507 of the family's 1533-position model. The record is from RNAcentral.